CAUAGGUUAAUGAGGCGAACCGGGGGAACUGAAACAUCUAAGUACCCCGAGGAAAAGAAAUCAACCGAGAUUCCCCCAGUAGCGGCGAGCGAACGGGGAGCAGCCCAGAGCCUGAAUCAGUGUGUGUGUUAGUGGAAGCGUCUGGAAAGGCGCGCGAUACAGGGUGACAGCCCCGUACACAAAAAUGCACAUACUGUGAGCUCGAUGAGUAGGGCGGGACACGUGGUAUCCUGUCUGAAUAUGGGGGGACCAUCCUCCAAGGCUAAAUACUCCUGACUGACCGAUAGUGAACCAGUACCGUGAGGGAAAGGCGAAAAGAACCCCGGCGAGGGGAGUGAAAAAGAACC
This 347-nucleotide ribosomal RNA is filed under the name Escherichia coli. RNAcentral describes it as "partial 23S ribosomal RNA". It matches the Rfam family "Bacterial large subunit ribosomal RNA", at positions 165 to 550 of the family's 2925-position model. Lineage: Bacteria; Pseudomonadati; Pseudomonadota; Gammaproteobacteria; Enterobacterales; Enterobacteriaceae. The record is from RNAcentral.